CAUUCCAAAUUUAGAUUCACCAAUAAAUAUUAUUUUUCUCAAAUCAAUGAUCUACCAUUUUACUUCUUUAUUUUUAUUACACACAUUCUUAGGUGAAGAUUUCACAAUAGGAAUAAUUUUAACAAAUUGAUAAUUUUGGAGCAGAUCACAAUUUGAGACUUGGUCUUUCUUUACAAAUACCAACUUGGUCUAAACCACCAGAAAUAUUCAUUGUAUGAUAUACAUUAAUUUUAUGGGAGAAUACUUGCUCAUAUCACUUAUUUCACGUUAGAUGCUCACAUUAUUUGUUAAGUGUUUCAAAAAUAUAAAUGCCAAAAGAGUUUAGAUCUUAUAUUUAAUAAACAAUAGAAUCUCGUAAGAUUGUAAGCUAGAGAGUAAAUUGGUGUUU
RNAcentral lists this long non-coding RNA (388 nucleotides) under Ananas comosus (pineapple). Its description in RNAcentral is "long non-coding RNA (ACOM_LNC027223)". Lineage: Eukaryota; Viridiplantae; Streptophyta; Magnoliopsida; Poales; Bromeliaceae. The record is from RNAcentral.